UGGGGAAUAUUGGACAAUGGGCGCAAGCCUGAUCCAGCCAUGCCGCGUGAGUGACGAAGGUCUUCGGAUUGUAAAGCUCUUUUUACCAGGGACGAUAAUGACGGUACCUGGAGAAUAAGCCCCGGCUAACUUCGUGCCAGCAGCCGCGGUAAUACGAAGGGGGCUAGCGUUGUUCGGAAUUACUGGGCGUAAAGCGCACGUAGGCGGAUUGUUAAGUCAGAGGUGAAAUCCCGGAGCUCAACUUCGGAACUGCCUUUGAUACUGGCAAUCUCGAGUCCGGAAGAGGUUAGUGGAAUUCCCAGUGUAGAGGUGAAAUUCGUAGAUAUUGGGAAGAACACCAGUGGCGAAGGCGGCUAACUGGUCCGGUACUGACGCUGAGGUGCGAAAGCGUGGGGAGCAAACAGGAUUAGAUACCCACGUAGUCCCUGAGCGGGCUGGCAAGGCGCAU
Molecule: ribosomal RNA, 448 nt
Filed under: uncultured bacterium
Lineage: Bacteria
Description: bacterial SSU rRNA
Rfam family: Bacterial small subunit ribosomal RNA
Source: RNAcentral